UCUUCUUCACACAAUACUGCCUUCUCUUCCUGUACCUGAACUAUGUACUUUGCAGAAGCCUGCAACUUCUCAAUCACAAGCUGAGUUAAGAGCGAAUACGCGCAAAGCUACUCUUGUUCACGCAGCAGCGAUGCCUUCUCUUCCUGUACCUGAACAUUACAGUCUACAGAAGCCUUCAACUUCUCAAUCACAAGCUGAGUUAAGAGCGAAGACGCGCAAAGCUACUCUUGUUCACGCAGCAGCGAUACCUUCUCUUCCUGUACCUGAACAUUACAGUCUACUCAAGCCUUCAACUUCUCAAUCACAAGCUGAGGUAAGAACGUUGACACACAAAGCUACCCAUGUUCACACAGCGAUGCCUU
This 362-nucleotide long non-coding RNA is filed under the name Arabidopsis thaliana (thale cress). RNAcentral describes it as "long non-coding RNA (ATHA_LNC000081)". Lineage: Eukaryota; Viridiplantae; Streptophyta; Magnoliopsida; Brassicales; Brassicaceae. The record is from RNAcentral.